RNAcentral lists this transfer RNA (72 nucleotides) under Novosphingobium mangrovi. RNAcentral's name for it is "tRNA-Ser". The record is from RNAcentral. Lineage: Bacteria; Pseudomonadati; Pseudomonadota; Alphaproteobacteria; Sphingomonadales; Sphingomonadaceae.
GCGUAUAAGUUAUUGACUUGACUGAGAUUCCUAAUCUGGGGGCCAGUGGUUCGAAUCCACUUGGGCGCACCA